GGACUUUUACUUUGAAAAAAUUAGAGUGUUCAAAGCAGGCCUACGCCCGAAUACAUUAGCAUGGAAUAAUAGAAUAGGACGCGCGUUCCCAUUUUGUUGGUUUCUGAGAUCGCCGUAAUGAUUAAUAGGGAUAGUUGGGGGCAUUUGUAUUCCGUCGUCAGAGGUGAAAUUCUUGGAUUGCCGGAAGACAAACUAUUGCGA
Molecule: ribosomal RNA, 201 nt
Filed under: Pseudo-nitzschia pungens
Lineage: Eukaryota; Bacillariophyta; Bacillariophyceae; Bacillariales; Bacillariaceae
Description: partial Eukaryotic small subunit ribosomal RNA
Rfam family: Eukaryotic small subunit ribosomal RNA
Source: RNAcentral